RNAcentral lists this unclassified non-coding RNA (343 nucleotides) under uncultured cyanobacterium. Its description in RNAcentral is "partial contains 16S ribosomal RNA and 16S-23S ribosomal RNA intergenic spacer". The stretch from base 1 to 122 matches the Rfam family "Bacterial small subunit ribosomal RNA", at positions 1414 to 1533 of the family's 1533-position model. Lineage: Bacteria; Bacillati; Cyanobacteriota. The record is from RNAcentral.
GGCACGCCCGAAGUCGUUACUCCAACCCGCAAGGGAGGAGGACGCCGAAGGUGGGGCUGAUGACUGGGGUGAAGUCGUAACAAGGUAGCCGUACCGGAAGGUGCGGCUGGAUCACCUCCUAACAGGGAGACAAUAACUGAUCGUGAUGUCUGGCUAAAUUAUUGCUAGGCCAUGAUCCUGUCAUCUCGAUGGUUAAUCGGUACCUCAACCGACAAAAGCGAAGCCAAAAGCAACUCUAGCAAUGGAGGAGCCGAUGAGCUGUCGUGGAUGUCUUUUCAGUUCCUAAACUUUGUCUAGGUCACCCCGCAAGGGUAUCCCUGGGCCAUUAGCUCAGGUGGUUAGA